AUGUUUCUGAAACCCUCCUCUCUCAAAUUCAUCUUUAUUAUAAUGCAAAUAUGGUAUCUUUUAUUUUUACUCCAGGCUGAAAAGGUGUGUAAUGAAAAUCAAAUACAUACAAGCCAUAAAGAAAACAAAUCUACUCAAACAACAUUAGGUGUUUGUAAUAACGUUGCAGAAGAAGAAAAUGGAGUAACAAACAUUCCACCUUCUUCUUUUGGUUCUGGUGAAAUGCAAACAGAACAAAGCAAAGGUGAUACAAACAGAGCAGAUGAGAAUUCAGUUUGCAGUGAAGGUUAUCUUGAUCAUUGUGUAAAUGAAGAUAAUAAAGUUUGUCCUUUGAAGACAAAACAAAAGGAGCUUUCUGUAGGCAUCCCCUUAUAUACAAUCGGUGUCAUUACUCCAGAACCAGCAGAUGGGUCAUGUAUUGCUGAAGGUGAAGAAACUACAACUGAAAGAAAAGCAGAUGAAAUUGUUUUUGAUAAAAUAGAAGUCAGGGGAGACAACUCAGAAAAUUACUGUUCCUCAGCAGAAUUCCCAGUGGAAGAUUGUAAAAUGCUCUUAGAAAGUACUGAAGAUUUAGGUAAUUCUAACCAAAAUACAUAUUUUUCAACAAAACCAAACAAACAUCUAGAUGGAAGUAUUAGAAAUAAAUUUGCUUCUGAAAAGACUGAAAUUAUCAACUGUACAAUCCAUGAGGAAGCUUCCUCUGCAAGUGAAGAUUGUGGCAAAAAGGAUAGUGAGCAUAAUACAAAUGCCCACAUGAACUCUGAAAGUUAUUCUGUGUAUGAUUCUGUGAAUCAUACAAACUUCCAUCCUGAUGGCUUAGAUGAGUGCAGUGAAGUUUGUAAAGCAAAGCAAAUAUCACCAAGUCACAAAAACUGUGAGUGCUGUAAGAAAAUCAGUUCAUUCUACACACAAGAGGAUACACCACCUUUGCAUGCUUCUCUGAACAACCAAUUAGGUAAAAAUUCUCAUAUUAACAAUGAAGAAAACUUGAGGAACCGCAAUUUAAAUGCUGAAAACUCAUUUAAAGAUGUAAAUGAAAUCGCAGAAAAAUAUUCUGACAAAGACAGUUCCAAACUGAAAGAAGAGAGUAUAAACAAGGUCUUCCUCUUAAACAGCGAAAAUGUACAUGAAUCUCAGACUGUAGAUGUGAGCAUUCAGCAAGUUAACAGAGAUGAAGAAAGGGAAUUCCAUACAGUAGAUGACCAAUUUAUAAUAAGUGGUAAUUCAGUUAAUAUAUCGUUAAAAGAAAGGCAGGAGUCAUUAAAAGGUAAAUUUACAGAAGAAAUUGUUUCAGAAGUAAAUAGCUUAGACAGAUCAUGUUCUUUACCCAUAAAAACAACUGAACAUUCAGUACAGAGAAAUGCAAUGCCUGCCCUUGACUUUGCAAUUAUAAAUAAAAUAACCACGAAAACAGUGUGUCAAGAUGAAAUUCAAAGUGUAUGUGCUUCAACUGUCAAACCAGCUUUCUCAAUUAAAGUAAAACCACUUUUACAAGAAUUCAAAAAUAGCCAGAAUUCAAUGGAAAUUGGUCAAAUUGUGAACAUGCAUGCUUCUCUAAAAGAAGAACCAUUAGGUUCUACCUACAGAAACAGAGUUGCUGACACUUUGAAUACCGGAAGUAUCAAUCUAGGCCCCAAGAGAAAUCACAGCGAAGAAUGGAAUGCAACAGCAAAGCCUUUUUAUGAUCCUUCUUUUCCCAGAGAACACGUAAGUCAAUUAAAAAUAUUGCAGAGCAGACCUUAG
RNAcentral lists this long non-coding RNA (1743 nucleotides) under Anolis carolinensis (green anole). Its description in RNAcentral is "lncRNA (ENSACAG00000043830.1)". Lineage: Eukaryota; Metazoa; Chordata; Lepidosauria; Squamata; Anolidae. The record is from RNAcentral.